RNAcentral lists this ribosomal RNA (376 nucleotides) under gamma proteobacterium SCGC AAA023-E07. RNAcentral's name for it is "bacterial SSU rRNA". It matches the Rfam family "Bacterial small subunit ribosomal RNA", at positions 370 to 734 of the family's 1533-position model. Lineage: Bacteria; Pseudomonadati; Pseudomonadota; Gammaproteobacteria. The record is from RNAcentral.
AAUGGGCGCAAGCCUGAUCCAGCCAUGCCGCGUGUGUGAAGAAGGCCUUCGGGUUGUAAAGCACUUUUGUGGGGAGGAAGGNCAGUNGGUUAAUACCUUGUUGUUUUGACGUUACCNACAGAAUAAGCACCGGCUAACUCCGUGCCAGCAGCCGCGGUAAUACGGAGGGUGCAAGCGUUAAUCGGAAUUACUGGGCGUAAAGCGAGCGUAGGNGGUUUUUUAAGUCGGAUGUGAAAUCCCCGGGCUCAACCUGGGAACUGCAUUNGAAACUGGCUAGGCUAGAGUCCGGUAGAGGGGUGGUUGGAAUUCCUGGUGUAGCGGUGAAAUGCGUAGAUAUCNGAGAGGAACACCGGUGGCGAAGGGCGGCCCCCUGGAC